UAAAUUAAAUCAAUGUAUCAUUGCAUCAAAAUGACUUCUUUUGCAACGUGCGUAAUAUUUAUAUGUAUUGCAAUUCAUUUGGCAAUACUACAAAUAGUAGAUUUUGAAAUGAAGCGGAACAAGACAUUUAGAUUCUACACAUUUAUGGCGCCCUGUGAUGAACAAAUUAAAGAAGCCUAUGUUGAAAAUGUUGUGGUACAUCGAGUUGAUGGAGCUUACACUCUUGAUUACGAUUUUCAUUUGAGUGCAGAUGUGAGCGAUUUUAGAACGGAAGUUUCAUUUUCACGUUGUUCAUCACGAGAAGCUCUAGAUUCAUGUGAAACAAUGCCGUCAUUCUCUACGAAUCAUGGGUGUAAAUUUGUUACUGCACAGAAUGCUGCUUGGACACCGCUGGUUAAUUGUUCGACACCUAAACUGCGCUGUCCAACAAAAAAAGGAUUUUAUAAAUAUCGUAAUUGCAAGCUUGAUCUAACGUUAUACAGCUUUAUGCCACUGGGACGCUCAUAUUGGAGAGUGCAAAUUGUAAUGUCCGUUAAAGAAAAAAGGUUGUGCUUCAAAGUCGAAGGUAAUAUAAUUAAUUAAAC
Dalotia coriaria is the source of this 584-nucleotide long non-coding RNA. RefSeq lists it as uncharacterized. The transcript is spliced from 3 exons. NCBI's taxonomy places the organism in Eukaryota, Metazoa, Arthropoda, Insecta, Coleoptera, Staphylinidae. The record is from RefSeq and is a predicted model, not a curated record.